AUUCAUGGAGAGCUUCAGCUAUUUGAAAGGUAUGAUCUAAAUCUCUUAUCUGUUUCCUACCUCCACACACGUGUUAUAUAUUCUAUAUUCAUAGAGGGUUAAUUUAUUAAUGCAUAUUUCUUACCGUCUAAUUCUUGUUCAUCAUUAAAGGAGAGUAUUAUGACCUUACUCUAUGAUCUAUCCAAACACUUACCACCAAACCAUCUGCCUACGCUACUAUCACUGGCCCAUUGUUGAGUAAGGUGAAUGACCCCAUGAAUCAUGGUUUGGUGGUAAGUGUUUGGAUA
RNAcentral lists this unclassified non-coding RNA (287 nucleotides) under Hevea brasiliensis (rubber tree). Lineage: Eukaryota; Viridiplantae; Streptophyta; Magnoliopsida; Malpighiales; Euphorbiaceae. The record is from RNAcentral.